UCGAGAAUUUUUCUCAAUGGGGGAAACCCUGAAGGAGCGACGCCGCGUGGAGGAUGAAGGUUUUCGGAUUGUAAACUCCUGUCAUGAGAGAACAAACUUAUCGAGAGUAACUGCUUGAUAAUUGAUAGUACCUCAAGAGGAAGGGACGGCUAACUCUGUGCCAGCAGCCGCGGUAAUACAGAGGUCCCAAGCGUUGUUCGGAUUCAUUGGGCGUAAAGGGUGCGUAGGCGGCGCCAUAAGUCGGAUGUGAAAUCUCGGGGCUCAACCCCGAAACUGCAUUCGAUACUGCGGUGCUAGAGGACUCGAGAGGAAACUGGAAUUCACGGUGUAGCAGUGAAAUGCGUAGAUAUCGUGAGGAAGACCAGUGGCGAAGGCGGGUUUCUGGACAGUGCCUGACGCUGAGGCACGAAGGCCAGGGGAGCAAACGGGAUUAGAUACCCCCGUAGUCC
RNAcentral lists this ribosomal RNA (449 nucleotides) under uncultured bacterium. Its description in RNAcentral is "bacterial SSU rRNA". It matches the Rfam family "Bacterial small subunit ribosomal RNA", at positions 355 to 796 of the family's 1533-position model. The record is from RNAcentral.